CCUCGGGGUAGGACCACUCGGGGGAGUAGUCAGUGACCAUGAAGAGCCGCCCUGUGGCCUGAAGCAUCCCCAGAGCCCCCUGGGCCACGGCUGCAGAAACCACCUCUGCUACAUUCAUGUAGGACAACGAGCCUGGCUCUCCCGCGUUCCCCCCAGCUCCGGCCCCUGCGCUCAGAGACUGGGGGCUGCAGCAGGGUUGGAGCUGUGGGAUGUGACUAGCUGGUGAGCGUACAGAGCCCCUCCGGCUGACAUGGUGGCUCCACUGCCAUCCACUGAGAUGAAGUCAUUGAUGAGGUCAGAGAACUGGUUACCAAAAGAGAUGUCGAAGUGAUCCAGACUGAUCUCCAUGCCCGUCCCUCCAGCUCCCCCGUUACUGGCCGCUCCUCCGAGGCCUUGGUGGCCCCCGACAGCGUUGUAGAGACCCGGGACCAUGCUCGUCCCUUGGAGGAGAGGCUGUAGCUGCUGCUGGGAGCGGUUGCCGCCGUCGCCGUUGCCGUUAUGGAUCGCUACUCCGUCUCCUGCACCUCCAGUCCCUCCUCCACCACCAUCCGAGCCCUGUUGCAGGUAGUGCUCCGCGCCCUCUCCGUUUCCCGCCCCACAGGCCUGGAUGUGGUCUACUGGCUUGAGUAGAUUCUCAGUUGCAUUCUCAGUGACUCCAGCCUGAGCUGAACUCACACUGCCUUGUUGCUCAAGACCCACCACCUCCUCGUGCGGAGCGCCCAGUCCAGGAAAGCCCCCCUGGUACUGUAGCAGCUGCAGAGAGCCAGCCUGGCCAGGCCCCUCUGUGGGUGAGCCUCCAUUACAGUUGGCCCUGUGCUGGUUCUGGUGGGCCUGGUGGGCCUGGUGCGCUUGGUGAUGGUGGUGGAGGUGUCCGUUGCUGCCGGGGGAGUCCGUCUUCACCACCUGCAGCCCCAUGUAAGCGCCAGAGUCGUGGGUGUUGUGCUCCAUCAAAUGUGAUUUCUGGCCCAUGCCGGGCCUCCCCUGCUGAGCCUGGCCGCUCUGAGAGGAGUCCUGGAGGAAGAAGCUGGGGGAGCGGUUCUGGUGUUGCAUGUGAGUACUGGACAUGGCCUGGCCGUAGCUCACUGCGGUAGCGCUGGAAGUGUAGUCCUGCUUGGCAUCUAUAGCACUGAAAUCCAUCUGUUCGAGCGUGGUGCUGGGACUCAGACCCCCACCAGAAGGCAGUAGGGAUCCUGCUGCUGUCAGAGUCAGGCUGCCAUGGCCUGAACCAGCACCAGACGACACAGACACCCCGCUGCCACAGUUCACCACCGGCGCCACCUGGUAGCCGCUCUCUUUGGCCAGCUGCUGCUCAAAUGACGUGUCUUCUAUCUUGAUGUUCUUCACCAAAGCCGAGCUGAAGGCGUAGCCGUUAUCUGACAUGGUGGGGGAGCGCUGCAGACUGCCGUUGGUGCAACUGCUUCCACCGGAGGAGGAUGACGUCGAGGAAGAGUUUCCCUCCGUCUUCAUUGCACUCCCUCCAUAGGUCUGGCCCUGCUUGGGGUUGUUCAGGAAGCAGUCGGGGUCAAAGUUCAUAUUGGUCUCAGGGAUCUUGAUGCUUCCAGCGUCCAGACUGCUGGAGAGCACCAGUUCCUCUGACACCCCGGCAGAAGACAGCAUGGACAGACUGUCUCCCGCCACGGCGCUCCCAGGUUCCCCUCCUGCUCCACCGGGGAAGGCAAAUUUGUGACGGUCAGACGCCACGGACAGCCCCAAGCCCUGGGAGGUGGCAUCCGCACCCAUCAGGUGGGUGUUGGGACCCCCGGUAGGAGACAUGCUGUAAACGGGGCCCCAGUGACCUCAGACAUAAAGACACCCUGGGACAGGCCAGACAUGACAGAGGCCACGUGGCUCAUCCCUGUCACCACGGGGCUGUCCGCCAUGUCUGGGUCGCUGUUGAGGCCACUGCUGAUGGACACAGGUGAGUUCUGCGUGGUGUCAGGAACCUCCACCUGGUUGGUGGACGACACCUCCGUGCUGUUCUGGUGCAGCAGGACCGGCUUGUGGACUUUGCCGUUGCGUUUCUCCCUGGCGCUCCCGCCUCCCCCGGAGCUCUUCCCCCCGCCAUGGGCGCUGUGCUCGGUCUUCCCCUCUGACACGUCGUUGUUCUGCACCUCAGAGUGAGCAGUGCUGUAGCCACCCGAGCGGGGGUCCACCUUUGGGGAGAUUAUGCGGUGUUUGGCGCUGUUGCAUUUGUGGUGCACACUGCUCCC
Molecule: long non-coding RNA, 2210 nt
Organism: Gasterosteus aculeatus aculeatus (three-spined stickleback)
Lineage: Eukaryota; Metazoa; Chordata; Actinopteri; Perciformes; Gasterosteidae
Source: Ensembl